Molecule: ribosomal RNA, 565 nt
Filed under: uncultured bacterium
Lineage: Bacteria
Description: bacterial SSU rRNA
Rfam family: Bacterial small subunit ribosomal RNA
Source: RNAcentral
AGAGUUUGAUCAUGGCUCAGGAUGAACGCUAGCGGCAGGCCUAAUACAUGCAAGUCGAACGGUAAGGACUCGCUUGCGAGUCACACGAGUGGCGCACGGGUGCGUAACGCGUAUGCAACCUACCUUCAACUGGAGAAUAGCCCCGAGAAAUCGGGAUUAAUACUUCAUAAUAUCCAUUUAUCUCAUGUUAGAUGGAUUAAAGCUCCGGCGGUUGAAGAUGGGCAUGCGUGACAUUAGUUUGUUGGUGAGGUAACGGCUCACCAAGACUACGAUGUCUAGGGGUUCUGAGAGGAUUUUCCCCCACACUGGUACUGAGACACGGACCAGACUCCUACGGGAGGCAGCAGUAAGGAAUAUUGGGCAAUGGACGAAAGUCUGACCCAGCCAUGCCGCGUGCAGGAUGACAGCCCUACGGGUUGUAAACUGCUUUUAUACGGGAAGAAUCCCCUGUACGUGUACAGGGUUGACGGUACCGUACGAAUAAGCAUCGGCUAACUCCGUGCCAGCAGCCGCGGUAAUACGGAGGAUGCAAGCGUUAUCCGGAUUCAUUGGGUUUAAAGGGUGC